AUUGAACGCUGGCGGCAUGCUUUACACAUGCAAGUCGAACGGUAACAGGUCUUUCGGGAUGCUGACGAGUGGCGAACGGGUGAGUAAUGUAUCGGAACGUGCCCAGUAGUGGGGGAUAACUACUCGAAAGAGUGGCUAAUACCGCAUGAGAUCUCUGGAUGAAAGCGGGGGACCGUAAGGCCUCGCGCUGCUGGAGCGGCCGAUAUCAGAUUAGGUUGUUGGUGAGGUAAAGGCUCACCAAGCCGACGAUCUGUAGCUGGUCUGAGAGGACGACCAGCCACACUGGGACUGAGACACGGCCCAGACUCCUACGGGAGGCAGCAGUGGGGAAUUUUGGACAAUGGGCGCAAGCCUGAUCCAGCAAUGCCGCGUGCAGGACGAAGGCCUUCGGGUUGUAAACUGCUUUGUACGGAACGAAAGACCUUCUUCUAAUACAGGAGGUCAUGACGGUACCGUAAGAAUAAGACACCGGACUAACUAACGUGCCAGCACG
RNAcentral lists this ribosomal RNA (493 nucleotides) under uncultured bacterium. RNAcentral describes it as "bacterial SSU rRNA". It matches the Rfam family "Bacterial small subunit ribosomal RNA", at positions 30 to 515 of the family's 1533-position model. The record is from RNAcentral.